This 253-nucleotide ribosomal RNA is filed under the name uncultured bacterium. RNAcentral's name for it is "partial 16S ribosomal RNA". It matches the Rfam family "Bacterial small subunit ribosomal RNA", at positions 524 to 776 of the family's 1533-position model. The record is from RNAcentral.
GACGAACCGUGCGAACGUUGUUCGGAAUCACUGGGCAUAAAGGGCGCGUAGGCGGCUCCAAAAGUCAGGGGUGAAAUCCGGCAGCUUAACUGUCGCAGUGCCUUUGAUACUGUGGAGCUAGAGGGAGGUAGGGGUCUGUGGAACUUCCGGUGGAGCGGUGAAAUGCGUUGAUAUCGGAAGGAACGCCGGUGGCGAAAGCGACGGACUGGAUCUCUUCUGACGCUGAGGCGCGAAAGCCAGGGGAGCAAACGGG